GACCACAGAAAAAGUAGCCAGCCCACCAUCCCUAGAUGAUUUUGCAGUCUUUGCACACCAGUGUGGCCAUAGGCUUGUUUUCUCCUGGACUGAGCCUGCAGAUCCUAUGAGCAAGCAUAUGUCCUGUGCUCCACUAGUCCUAGCUGGAUCGUGGACAUAUUACCAUCAUUACAAAUAUCAAUAGUUUGUGAUUACUUCAAACAAUCUGAAGUUGAAGGACCCCAGAUAUCCUUCAAAACAGGAAUCUGCAGGCAGAUGCUGAAACCAUGAAUACAGAGGGACAACUAUGCUCCGGCCCUGAACGCAGGAGAGUUGCUAAAGAAGUUGCUCACAGAGGCGGGAGAGAGCAGGCUACUGGUUUCCUUCAAAAUGGAAUAGGAAACAGAAAACGUGGUGAACAUCAUUUCUUCGCACUUGAAUCAGCAACAUGACACAGGACUUUGGCAUCAGACUACUAUCACACCAAAAAAAGAGGCUUCACUUGGAGUGCUGCCACUGGAUGGGGCCUGACUUGUUUAUCCGGAAAGAAGUGACUUCCCUGGGAAGAAGGUUGCAUUUGUGAAAGCUUGUGCAGCAUUUCAAGGCUGCAUUCAGGGGCUCUGACCUCCAGUGUCAGCCUUCCAAGGAGAGAAUGGUAGUGUAAUCAUGACUGGAGAGCAACUGUUCCAGAUAAGAAUAUUUUGGCAGAUUUUAAAAGCAACUAUUACUGGUGUUGAUUGACUUAAAAAUAUUUUAAAAAUAUAACAUGUUAUAAACCUCUUCAAUAUCAAGAGGCAGGAU
RNAcentral lists this long non-coding RNA (780 nucleotides) under Homo sapiens (human). RNAcentral describes it as "long intergenic non-protein coding RNA 1491". The record is from RNAcentral. Lineage: Eukaryota; Metazoa; Chordata; Mammalia; Primates; Hominidae.